RNAcentral lists this ribosomal RNA (571 nucleotides) under uncultured bacterium. RNAcentral's name for it is "bacterial SSU rRNA". It matches the Rfam family "Bacterial small subunit ribosomal RNA", at positions 34 to 649 of the family's 1533-position model. The record is from RNAcentral.
CGCUGGCGGCAUGCCUAAUACAUGCAAGUCGGACGCGUCUAGCGAUAGACGAGUGGCGCACGGGUGAGUAACGCGUGGGAACCUGCCCUGGAGUGGGGGAUAACCCGGCGAAAGCCGGGCUAAUACCGCAUACGACCUAAGGGUGAAAGAUUUAUCGCUCUAGGAGGGGCCCGCGUCGGAUUAGCUAGUUGGUGGGGUAACGGCCUACCAAGGCGAUGAUCCGUAGCUGGUCUGAGAGGAUGAUCAGCCACACUGGGACUGAGACACGGCCCAGACUCCUACGGGAGGCAGCAGUAGGGAAUAUUGGACAAUGGGGGCAACCCUGAUCCAGCAAUGCCGCGUGAGUGAUGAAGGCCUUCGGGUUGUAAAGCUCUUUCGGCGGGGACGAUGAUGACGGUACCCGCAGAAGAAGCCCCGGCUAACUUCGUGCCAGCAGCCGCGGUAAUACGAAGGGGGCGAGCGUUGUUCGGAAUUACUGGGCGUAAAGGGCGCGCAGGCGGCUCUUGAAGUCAGGUGUGAAAGCCCCGGGCUCAACCUGGGAAUGGCACUUGAUACUCUUGAGCUUGAGGAC